RNAcentral lists this transfer RNA (63 nucleotides) under Nanhuaphasma hamicercum. RNAcentral's name for it is "tRNA-Gly". Lineage: Eukaryota; Metazoa; Arthropoda; Insecta; Phasmatodea; Aschiphasmatidae. The record is from RNAcentral.
ACUCUUUUAAUAUAUAAGUAUAUUUAACUUCCAAUUAAAAAGACUGUUGAAACAGAAGGAGUA